Molecule: ribosomal RNA, 275 nt
Filed under: uncultured bacterium
Lineage: Bacteria
Description: partial 16S ribosomal RNA
Rfam family: Bacterial small subunit ribosomal RNA
Source: RNAcentral
GCGUGAGUGAUGAAGGCCCUAGGGUUGUAAAGCUCUUUUACCAGGGAUGAUAAUGACAGUACCUGGAGAAUAAGCUCCGGCUAACUCCGUGCCAGCAGCCGCGGUAAUACGGAGGGAGCUAGCGUUGUUCGGAAUUACUGGGCGUAAAGCGCACGUAGGCGGCGCAGCAAGUCAGGGGUGAAAUCCCGGGGCUCAACCCCGGAACUGCCUUUGAAACUGCCGUGCUAGAAUCCUGGAGAGGCGAGUGGAAUUCCGAGUGUAGAGGUGAAAUUCGU